UACGGGGGGGGCAAGCGUUGUUCGGAAUUACUGGGCGUAAAGGGUCUGUAGGUGGCUUGUUAAGUCAGACGUGAAAUCCCUCAGCUUAACUGGGGAACUGCGUCUGAUACUGGCGAGCUUGAGUGCAGGAGAGGAACGCGGAAUUCCAGGUGUAGCGGUGAAAUGCGUAGAUAUCUGGAGGAACACCGGUGGCGAAGGCGGCGUUCUGGACUGCAACUGACACUGAGACGCGAAAGCGUGGGGAGCAAACAGG
Molecule: ribosomal RNA, 253 nt
Filed under: uncultured bacterium
Lineage: Bacteria
Description: partial 16S ribosomal RNA
Rfam family: Bacterial small subunit ribosomal RNA
Source: RNAcentral